UUUUGCAAAGAAAAAGCAACCAGCCACACCCUAAAACACAUAAAUUUAAGCAAUUUUCUGCGCGAGUUUAAACUGUAUUUCCCUCCUUCCAUGUUGACAUAUAUGUACAUUGUACAUACAUAUGUAUGCAAAUUAAAGCUGGAUGUUUGCCUCCAGCUUUAAUACCCAAUCAACUAACACAGACCACCCAAAAUGUCCUCCUCCCGAACACAAACACCCGAGCCAGUAGCGCCAUGUACGUGACAUGUGCUUUGGUGAAAUCGAAGCCCAAAAUUGUCAUUUCGAUUAACAAGAAAUCCACUUUCCUCUUACUUUUUCUCCCGCUUCUCUGGGCUGCCCCCAAAUCAAUUUCAGCAUCGCACACACAGACGUCGGCGGAGGCGGCAGGCGGUCGGGGAUCUGGACCCGGAGCAGGAACAUCAGAAGGGGCAGGAACCUCAUCGUCAUCGGCAGCCUCCACGGCCAUCAGCUCCGAUGAGAGCGGCAACCCAUCAUCGGCGACCGCGUUCUCCAGCUUGGCUCAAGUGUCCUCGCUUCUGCCGGAGGCAUCCGCUCUGUCGGCGACAUCGGGACUCGUGGAGCCCUAUCUGGAUGGCUACGCCACUUCCAAUGUGACCACUCAGAUCGGGACACACGCGUAUCUGCCCUGUCGGGUCAAACAGCUGGGCAACAAAUCGGUGUCCUGGAUUCGUCUGCGAGAUGGACACAUCUUGACCGUUGACAGGGCCGUCUUCAUAGCCGACCAGCGAUUCCUGGCCAUCAAGCAGCCGGACAAGUACUGGACUCUGCAGAUCAAGUACGUCCAGGCCCGGGACGCCGGCUCCUACGAGUGCCAGGUCUCCACGGAGCCCAAAGUCAGCGCCCGUGUCCAGCUGCAAGUUGUGGUUCCCCGCACGGAGAUCCUGGGAGAGCCGGACCGCUACGUGAAGGCGGGCAGCAACGUGGUGCUCCGCUGCAUUGUGCGUGGCGCCUUGGAGCCGCCCACGUUCAUCAUGUGGUACCACGGCGCCGAGCAGCUGGCGGCCGACUCCCGGCGCCACCGCACGCAACUGGAUCCCAACCUGCCGGAGGCCUCCGGCGAAGGCCAGAGCACGAUUGGCUCAUUAAUCAUCGAGUCGGCCAAGAAGCGCGAUACUGGCAAUUACACAUGUAGCCCGUCGAAUAGCCCCAGUGCGACCGUAACGCUGAACAUAAUAAAUGGCGAAUCGUCGGCCUCGGCGGUCACAUCCUCGGCAGCCACCACCCGGGCCUACGCUCUCAGCAUCCUGGCGCUCCUGCUCAGCGUCAUCCUCAUCGGAGUGGGCCACCGCACAUGACAUGUCAAUGCCAGCAAGCCAAACUAAAUGGUCUGAAAGCAGCUACUAGACAGUGAGAAGAUGGGAAUCCCAACACUCUGCCAACGUAAAAACAAAUACUGGACUCUGGCCGGUGACCUCGUUGCUGGUCAGGGGAAUCGAAACUUCUUUCGCCAAUAAAUUUGAAAAAUUGAAUAGGCCGUCCCAGGGAUCGGAGAAGUUCUGAAUGAUUUCCAAGGAGUUUAUUCAGCAUUAUCUUUGGCAAACAUAGCACCCACAUAUUCGGACUGCGAUGUAUGUAUGUGGCACAUCGCAAACAUUUGCAUAGCCAAUUUAUGGAACUCUAUUUUAUGUGCUCUUAUCUCACGAACAAGCUCGAAACAUGCGGGAAAAACCAAAAUUCAUAAAGUAAAUAUGGCGUAAGAACAAAAAAUUAUAGCAAAUACACUCAUUGAUCGGAAUGGACGAAAUGGGCGCGUUCAGCAAGCAAAAACAAUUUAAUUGAUAACGAAAGUAAAUUUAUUGAAUUCAGCGGACUGAAUCGCGAACUGUAUAUAACUCUAUUGCGAAAUCGUUCAGCAAAAUGUAAAUUAAUUGAAUAUACAAAUAAUAUAAAUGGCAGAAUCCAACCAGAGACGUAUUCCAAACACUAAUGAAUUGCAUUUAAACGAUACAAAUAAAUACAUAAAAUAAAUAAAUAAACAAAAAAGCGGCAGGCGGCAGGAGACAAAGGCGCAAGGCGGCCAAAGAAAUAAAUAAAACGAAUCAAACGGACAAAAUGUAAACAUUGUGUGCAUCGCCAACCCGCAGGUUCGGCUCGUAUUUAUUUAUCCACUUAACGUCCUUUUUAAUUACACGCACUCCCCCCGAUCCACGGCAAAUCCCAUAAAAAUCGUCUGAAAUGAAUUAAAGUUGUCUCUGCUCCUGAAUUUGUACGUGUACGUGGAAAUUGAGGCUGCAGCGUCAACUUAAUUGCAAUUAGGUGCAGGCCCACUGCCACUCCCACUCCCAAUCAAACAAUGCCCUCAAAGCGGCAUUAAUUAUGUGUGCGAUUGUCCCAAGGCAUCGGCUGUCACACCCUGCGUAUACUUGAUGCGCCCGUCUUUGAGCGCUUAACAAAUUGAUCCCGGGCCAAGUUAACCGCAAGCAGCUGUGAGCCAACGCAAACACGCUCCGCAGACGGGCGAGAAAAAGCCACGGAAAUAAAUUUCUGCGGUCAAUAUUACAGUGGCGGUGGGCAGGAAGGGGUUAAUUGAACGGGGAUUCUUUUCACGGGUGUGGACAAUUAACACAUUCCGGCUUGAAUGCAUCAAAUGCUCGUGGUCUGCGGCUAACCACCUUUGAGCCACCCACCCCCCAGCAGCGCCCAACCCUGACACUUAUGUUCAGCCUUUUAAUUUCCCGCCAAAAAGCCACCAACAGCCGGAUUGGACACCCCCAUUAAACUGAAUGUUGAACAAUGACAGUUUGUUAGACCUAAGCGACGUACAUAUAUGACCAUAGCGAGUACGAUACAAAUCGAAAUCAAAAUACAUUUCUAAGCUCUUAAGUGUUUUUCAUCAACUCGAUUAACGUGUAGACGCCAUUCGUGUAAUUAUCAACACCCGACUAAUUGUAAAUAAAUCGCAUUACACGCUAAAGUCCCAAAUUCGCAAAGGUGUGGGGGCUACUUUUUAAAGACAGACACUCGAACACACACGUGUACUCAUGAUAUAGCAAAGUUUAUUGUUAAGUACCGACUAAUAACGAAAAUACUUACAUACACAUAUACAUAUGUAAACGAAACUAAGAACUAUGUGAACUUUAACUGAGAAAUUUAUUGCAUUACAUACAAUAAAAUAAUAAAAUUGAAUAACUUAAA
This is an RNA transcript of Drosophila sechellia, 3156 nucleotides long. It is a transcript of the gene named defective proboscis extension response 11, with no coding region annotated. The transcript has 7 exons. The record is from RefSeq and is a predicted model, not a curated record. NCBI's taxonomy places the organism in Eukaryota, Metazoa, Arthropoda, Insecta, Diptera, Drosophilidae.